ACUCAAUAGAUACCCUGGUAGUCUUGGCCCUAAACGAUGAUCACUAGGUGUCGGGGGGUAACCUUCGGUGCCGCAGCUAAACGCAUUAAGUGAUCCGCCUGGGGACUACGGCCGCAAGGUUGAAACUCAAAGGAAUUGGCGGGGGCCCGCACAAGCGGUGGAGCAUAUGGCUUAAAUUCGAUGCAACGCGAAGAACCUUACCAGGGCUUGACAUGCACCUGCACUCUCCGGAAACGGAGCCGCCUUCGAGGGUGGUGCACAGGUGGUGCAUGGCUGUCGUCAGCUCGUGUUGUGAAAUGUUGGGUUAAGUCCCGCAACGAGCGCAACCCUCACGUUCUGUUACCAGCGAGUAAAGUCGGGGACUCGGAACGAACUGCCUCUGUAAAGAGGAGGAAGGUGGGGAUGACGUCAAGUCAUCAUGCCCCUUACGCCCUGGGCUGCACAUAUGCUACAAUGGCUUCUACAA
Molecule: ribosomal RNA, 466 nt
Filed under: uncultured bacterium
Lineage: Bacteria
Description: bacterial SSU rRNA
Rfam family: Bacterial small subunit ribosomal RNA
Source: RNAcentral